This is an RNA transcript of Gossypium arboreum, 1884 nucleotides long. It is a transcript of the gene named protein ANTI-SILENCING 1-like, with no coding region annotated. Lineage: Eukaryota; Viridiplantae; Streptophyta; Magnoliopsida; Malvales; Malvaceae. The record is from RefSeq and is a predicted model, not a curated record. The transcript has 5 exons.
AGGAAGAUUAAAGUCGGAGCAGAGAUAACAAAAGGGUGAUGAAGGAGGAAGAUUUAAGGCUGCUCUUCUCUAUUUUAUUAUUAUAUGUUUUCUUUAUUAUUUUAUAUAUAAGAGCUAAGCAUACGCUUCCAGUCUCUUGCCUCUUCACAAAUCGUUGUGCUAUUCAAGUAUGGCAGAAGUUGAGAACAUUGAAUUUAAGUGGGGUAAAAAGAGAGGAAUUGGUGCGAGAAAUAGAGAUGUUCAGUUUUAUGAAUCAUUCACUUAUGAUGGCCUCUAUUACACUCUUUUUGACAAUGUUUAUCUUCACAAAGAAGGCCAAACUUUACCUUUUCUAGGGAAACUUAUAAAAAUAUGGGAAAAUCCCGAUAAAUCCAAGAAAGUGAAGAUUUUAUGGUUUUUCCAACCUAAUGAGAUAUCAAAAUAUCUUAAAGUUGAAUUGAAUCAUCCUAAUGAAGUGUUCUUGGCAUCUGGUGACGGAGUUGGCCUAUUUAACAUUAAUCCUUUGGAAGCAAUUGUAGGAAAAUGCAAUGUAGUUUGCAUUUCAAAGGAUAGCAGAAAUCCACAACCCUCAGAUCAAGAGCUCCAAAAGGCUGACUUUGUAUUUUGUCGUACGUUCAAUGUUAAGCGCUGCAUUAUUGUGGAUGAAAUGGAUGAAAAAAUUGCUGGAAUUGAUGUUAAAUUUAUUUUUAACCGAAUGGGUUCUCUAAAGCCCUCUUCUAGUCAUAACACUGAUGUGGAUGAUAAACAUACUAGUGAGACUGCAAUGACAGUAAAUAAAAAGGUGAUUUUGUCUAAUAAGUUGAACUCGUUUGAGACUCAAAAUUUUGAAGAUAGACAAGGGGAACAGAAACCCCUUGUUGAAGAAACCUUUGCUACUGAUGAUAGACAAGAGAAUGUCUUUAACUACAAAUCUGCUUCAAGCCUUAAAGCUGAAGAAAACAAAGAGUUGAAAGUUGAUGAGAAAUUAAAGUCCAUUGAGGAUUUGGGAGAGUUAGAUGAGAGGCCAUAUAAGAAAGCAAAGCUAGAUAGUUUUGGGAAAGUCUCUGAUUGCAAGAACAAGAUUGAUGUGCUUAUACCAAAUAUCAUUGCUUCUGAAGACGAACCCAGAUGUGCUACAAAUACUAAUGGGACAUCAAACUCUUCCACGAAGCUGAAGUUGGGGGAUGACGAACUCACAAAACCUACUUGCAAGUUGCCAAACGAGUCUUCUUCAUGGCCUUCAAAUGAUAUCAUCAAAACUGAUGACAAAGCAUUGGAAGUUAUUAGUAGACCUGAUUUUGAAAUUGGUGUUCUGGAGUUAUCUCCUUCUUUCCUUUCCUUUUGUUUAUCCCUUGCAACAUGGAGUUCUAAUGUGCAUUAAAGAUUGUGAGCUUGGUCCUAUAAUGUUGAAAAGGAUUGUUAGCUUUAGUUAUUGCAGCCUUGACACCAAUACAGUAGCAUCAGACCUUCAAUGCUUCUCGAAGUGAUUCAAUUCUUUCCCAGGAUGGCUUUAGCUUUCAAAGCAGCUAUUUCUUCAUGAUCAUCACCUGUUACCAAUGACAUGAUGUACAUACACAAUCAAUGUAGUAAGUCCAUUUUUCAAGGUUUUCUUUAUAAAUAGAAUGUGACCACCUUGACUUGGAAGGCAGCUUUAAUUUCUCAUAGCUACCGAAGUGAGAAUAUACAAUGCAAAUUUGCAAUAAAGAAAGGAUUGAACAAAUCAUGACACAAUCUAGGAAUUAAAUGUCAUCCUACUUUUAGAAUUCUAUCCUCUAGCUUCGAGGAUAGUCUAAUACGUGCCUUUAGUCACAUGUAGAAAUUGUUAUUUUGGGAGUUUUUUUUUUUAAAUAAUUUUAUUAUAAAUUUUAGUCAUAUCUAUUCUUUUUAAUAUAAUAUCUACAAUUA